AUGAGUGAAGAAACAACUAGAGAUAUUCUUGCUUGCAAUGAUAGAGAUGAUCUAGAGAAAUUAUUACACAAGUAUAAAGAAAAAUCUCCGAAUGCUAGAAUGAAAUGUGAUCCUAAGUUUGCUACUUCACCUAUCUUUAUUAAAGAUAAGGAUUAUGAAUUCUCUGUCUACCCAGAGUUAAUUAUUUUGGUUGAAUCUGAUCCUUUCCAUGGUUAUGAAACUGAAACUGUUGUGGCACAUCUUACUAAGUUGAAUGACAUAGCCACCCUUUUUACUCAUGAUGAGAAAACUCGCUACUACUUUAUUCUCAAAUUAUAUCCUUUCUCAUUAAAGGGUGAUGCUAAAUCUUGGUACAAUAGUCUUUCUCCUAGUUGUGUGCGUAGUCCCCAAGAUAUGAUUUACUACUUAUGUGAAAAAUAUUUUCCUUCUCAUAGGAAACAAGCUGCCUUACAUGAAAUAUUUAACUUUGCUCAAACUAAAGAAGAGAGUCUCCCACAAGCUUGGGGGAUGCUUUGCCAGUUACUUAAUGCUUUUCCUGAUCAUCCUCUUGGAAAAAUGAAAUACUUGAUAUCUUCUAUAAUGGACUAA
RNAcentral lists this ribosomal RNA (588 nucleotides) under Triticum aestivum (bread wheat). Its description in RNAcentral is "partial small subunit ribosomal RNA". Lineage: Eukaryota; Viridiplantae; Streptophyta; Magnoliopsida; Poales; Poaceae. The record is from RNAcentral.